AUAAAGUGAUAGAGGUUUGUUAUGUAUAACCUGAUCCUUUGAAGCAUACGACGUAGCUUCGGAGAGAGCUCUCACCAGAGACAUAACUUUAGGAUCGCCUUGAAGCUUAGAGAGAUGAGACUCGAAUUCGACAGCGAAGCAUUGAAUCUUCGAUUGGAGAUUCGCUAUUUCGAUUAUGUCUUUGGCGAUUUCAUCAAUUGUUGAAGACGUUUCAGUGUCGUAGAGAAACUCGCCGUCGCCGUCGCUGCCGCCGCCGUGCUUCACAUGUAUGCGCACCAUCUUCGAAGCCUUAG
RNAcentral lists this unclassified non-coding RNA (293 nucleotides) under Hevea brasiliensis (rubber tree). Lineage: Eukaryota; Viridiplantae; Streptophyta; Magnoliopsida; Malpighiales; Euphorbiaceae. The record is from RNAcentral.